RNAcentral lists this ribosomal RNA (253 nucleotides) under uncultured bacterium. RNAcentral describes it as "partial 16S ribosomal RNA". It matches the Rfam family "Bacterial small subunit ribosomal RNA", at positions 524 to 776 of the family's 1533-position model. The record is from RNAcentral.
UACGUAUGGUGCAAGCGUUAUCCGGAUUUACUGGGUGUAAAGGGAGCGCAGGCGGCGCGUUAAGCCUGGUGUGAAAGCCCGCGGCCCAACCGCGGGACUGCAUUGGGAACUGGCGCGCUGGAGUGCCGGAGGGGUAGGCGGAAUUCCGAGUGUAGCGGUGAAAUGCGUAGAUAUUCGGAGGAACACCGGUGGCGAAGGCGGCCAACUGGGCUUUAACUGACGCUGAGGCUCGAAAGUGUGGGGAGCAAACAGG